RNAcentral lists this small nuclear RNA (195 nucleotides) under Pongo abelii (Sumatran orangutan). Lineage: Eukaryota; Metazoa; Chordata; Mammalia; Primates; Hominidae. The record is from RNAcentral.
AUCGCUUUCCAGCAUUUUGGCGAAGAUGUAAAUGUAAUACCUUGUCCUUAUCCGUUUAAUAUCGAAGAUGUUCUGUAUGUGACCGCUAUGUAUUUGAGCGUGUUUUUGAAAUUGGGAGACAGAAUGGGAGUUUCCUGUACCUAUUCCCCAUAUCGACUUGGUAUUGUUAGUAUUUCUGAGAACCGUCCAUCUCUU